AGGAUGAACAUAGGUAUAAAAGUAAAUACAAAUAUUUUUCAAGGACAAUUUUGUAUUUAUAUCUUUCAUUCCUUUAUUACACUCAGAUGCUUCCACUUUCUUCCACUGAACGCUUCCUGAAGUGCUAAAAAAUCUCGUUCUUCAUAUCAUAAUGUAGCUCUAAUAUAGUCCUAAACCAAAAAUAUAAUACUACUUAAUUCCCAAAAUGCAGGAAACUCCAUUGAAAAUCUUCCUCACGUGUUCAAGAUACUCCUCUGUUUUCCCGAAAUUCCGUCUCAUUCUAUAAGUGGUUUUCCGGGAAUGAUACUAGGGAUCAUCUUUUCUUUGAAUGCUUGUUUUGAUCAAUUGUUGUGGAAGAGAUUGAUGAAAUGGAUGCAAUUUCAAUGGCCAGGAGUUCACAACUGGAUGCUGCACUACCAGACUAUUCUGCAGCUUAGCAAAGGUAGAUCCAAACAAGCUCAAUUGAUUAAAAUGGUCUAUGCAGAAUAUAUUCAUGCCAUUUGGAUAGAAAGGAACACUAGAGUCUUUGAAGGAGGGAAGACACAAGGGGAACAAAAUGCUAAAGCAUUUGCAUGUAUCUGCACCGUUCGAGCUAGUCCGACAAUGAAAGCUAGGUUGAUGAUGUGCAAAUUCUGAUGUGAAGGCUAAUAGAGUAUUUUGUGUUCUAGACUAGCUGCUACUGGUUGGAUAUGUAAGGAUGCUACUGUUGGUAAUUAGCAGGCAGCCUUUUAGUUUUUUGUAGUUCUAAGGGGUGCUCCCACUGGAUUUAGCAAGCUGUGUUGUAGCUUGGUUGCUUUGUAAAUAUUCACUUGGUUUUAUUAAUACAAGUUAUUAGUUACCCAAAAAAAUAAAAUUGGCUGGGUUUACUCA
Molecule: long non-coding RNA, 870 nt
Organism: Lycium barbarum (goji berry)
Lineage: Eukaryota; Viridiplantae; Streptophyta; Magnoliopsida; Solanales; Solanaceae
Exons: 2
Source: RefSeq, a predicted model, not a curated record